GAGCGAACAGACGAGGAGCUUGCUCCUUCGACGUUAGCGGCGGACGGGUGAGUAACACGUAGGUAACCUACCUAUAAGACUGGGAUAACUUCGGGAAACCGGAGCUAAUACCGGAUAAUAUUUCGAACCGCAUGGUUCGAUAGUGAAAGAUGGCUUUGCUAUCACUUAUAGAUGGACCUGCGCCGUAUUAGCUAGUUGGUAAGGUAACGGCUUACCAAGGCAACGAUACGUAGCCGACCUGAGAGGGUGAUCGGCCACACUGGAACUGAGACACGGUCCAGACUCCUACGGGAGGCAGCAGUAGGGAAUCUUCCGCAAUGGGCGAAAGCCUGACGGAGCAACGCCGCGUGAGUGAUGAAGGUCUUCGGAUCGUAAAACUCUGUUAUUAGGGAAGAACAAACGUGUAAGUAACUGUGCACGUCUUGACGGUACCUAAUCAGAAAGCCACGGCUAACUACGUGCCAGCAGCCGCGGUAAUACGUAGGUGGCAAGCGUUAUCCGGAAUUAUUGGGCGUAAAGCGCGCGUAGGCGGUUUUUUAAGUCUGAUGUGAAAGCCCACGGCUCAACCGUGGAGGGUCAUUGGAAACUGGAAAACUUGAGUGCAGAAGAGGAAAGUGGAAUUCCAUGUGUAGCGGUGAAAUGCGCAGAGAUAUGGAGGAACACCAGUGGCGAAGGCGACUUUCUGGUCUGUAACUGACGCUGAUGUGCGAAAGCGUGGGGAUCAAACAGGAU
This 732-nucleotide ribosomal RNA is filed under the name uncultured Staphylococcus sp. Its description in RNAcentral is "bacterial SSU rRNA". It matches the Rfam family "Bacterial small subunit ribosomal RNA", at positions 64 to 778 of the family's 1533-position model. Lineage: Bacteria; Bacillati; Bacillota; Bacilli; Caryophanales; Staphylococcaceae. The record is from RNAcentral.